UACAGAGGUGGCAAGCGUUGUUCGGAAUUAUUGGGCGUAAAGGGCGCGUAGGCGGUUGCGGUAAGUCUGUAGUGAAAUCUCUGGGACUCCAACUCAGAGUCUGCUGCAGAAACUGCCGUGCUUGAGUGUGGGAGAGGUGAGUGGAAUUCCCGGUGUAGCGGUAGAAAUGCGUAGAUAUCGGGAGGAACACCUGUGGCGAAAGCGGCUCACUGGACCACAACUGACGCUGAGGCGCGAAAGCUAGGGGAGCAAACAGGG
Molecule: ribosomal RNA, 258 nt
Filed under: uncultured bacterium
Lineage: Bacteria
Description: partial 16S ribosomal RNA
Rfam family: Bacterial small subunit ribosomal RNA
Source: RNAcentral